This 253-nucleotide ribosomal RNA is filed under the name uncultured bacterium. RNAcentral describes it as "partial 16S ribosomal RNA". It matches the Rfam family "Bacterial small subunit ribosomal RNA", at positions 524 to 776 of the family's 1533-position model. The record is from RNAcentral.
AACGUAGGAGACAAACGUUAUCCGGAGUUACUGGGCGUAAAGGGCUUGUGGGUGGUUUCGUAAGUCUGGCGUGAAAUUUCUCGGCUUAACCGAGGCAGGUCGUCGGAUACUGCGGAACUAGAGGACGGUAGAGGCGUGUGGAAUUCCGGGUGUAGUGGUGAAAUGCGUAGAGAUCCGGAGGAACACCAGUGGCGAAGGCGACACGCUGGGCCGUACCUGACACUGAGGCGCGAUAGCAUGGGGAGCAAACAGG